GGGUCAGGCGGGACUACCCGCUGAGUU
This 27-nucleotide ribosomal RNA is filed under the name Rubiteucris palmata. Its description in RNAcentral is "partial 28S ribosomal RNA". Lineage: Eukaryota; Viridiplantae; Streptophyta; Magnoliopsida; Lamiales; Lamiaceae. The record is from RNAcentral.